AUUCUACAUCCGCGGAAAACCAUACUGCACCUCGCGGGGUCUUACUAUGCCCGGCGGCAAGCAGAAUAUAAGUUGUAGGACCGGCCGAUCCUACGCCUAGGGCCGUGUCCCCCUAGGAAGGGACUGGGCUCCGCCCACCCAGAAGGCUACUAUGUGCACACAGGCCGAUGUUCAACCCUCAUCGACUAUAGGUGUCCUACAGAUACUGCCAAGCCAUGCAUAAAUGCCAUAAUGCACCCUCCCAAUACUCUACUAAAAAGGAGUAUGAUCAAGACUACCACUCACUCGAUCAUGACCCAAUCAUAAACUAACAUCAGGGUUAGGAGUGAGGGUCAAGGAAGUGCAAUACAACUCAAUAUACCACUAAAAAGGCUCUACAAAUCUUUGAAAUAGAGAAAAUGAAAUCAAUUUACAAAAGAAAUCAUUUCACAAUUCGGAAUCAAUUUGAUUACUCAUCAACCCCUCGUAAUUCCUCUCAAUGUUCUCUCA
Molecule: long non-coding RNA, 489 nt
Filed under: Phoenix dactylifera (date palm)
Lineage: Eukaryota; Viridiplantae; Streptophyta; Magnoliopsida; Arecales; Arecaceae
Description: long non-coding RNA (PDAC_LNC012787)
Source: RNAcentral